GAAUUAUACAUAGUGACAGUCUGUCGGCAGGGAGGAAGACGUAUUUCCUGAGGAAGCUCUUGCUGGUGUGUGUUAGUUAAUUUUAUGAAGCGAUUCUUCAAAUCAGUAGAUGAAUGGUCAAUAUUCGGCGUUCAGCAUUCAUUCUUACAGAGACAUUUUAUGACGUUACCAUAAAAUUCUGGUGAGACAGGCAAUGGACAUCUAAGGCACUGCUUUCUGCAUCUCCAGAUAUGUAUCAUUGAUGAGAAGAGAUCUCCAUUCAACAGUUCCCUCUUCCCUUCCAGAUCCUGUGGCUGCAACUUGCUGCUGAACUGCAGUCGUGGUUGUCUUCGUGCAAGUGCUCACAAAACACAGGACAUCAAACUCCUUCUGCAUGCAGCCUUUCCUCCCGUGCCCAGGAGCAACCCAGCAGUUAGAGAACGCUCAUCCUUGGAAAACCUCUGUCCCACCAUCAAUUUUUUUCCUUUUCCUGAAAAAUUAGUUAGAGCAUGGGAAAUAAACUUCAUGAAG
Molecule: long non-coding RNA, 510 nt
Filed under: Cairina moschata (Muscovy duck)
Lineage: Eukaryota; Metazoa; Chordata; Aves; Anseriformes; Anatidae
Description: domestica (muscovy Duck (domestic type)) lncRNA (ENSCMMG00000001377.1)
Source: RNAcentral